Molecule: ribosomal RNA, 591 nt
Filed under: Clostridium perfringens
Lineage: Bacteria; Bacillati; Bacillota; Clostridia; Eubacteriales; Clostridiaceae
Description: partial 23S ribosomal RNA
Rfam family: Bacterial large subunit ribosomal RNA
Source: RNAcentral
GCUUUUUGUAGAACGAGCCAACGAGUUACGGUAUGUAGCAAGGUUAAGUACUUAAGGUACGGAGCCGAAGGGAAACCGAGUCUGAAUAGGGCGACUAGUUGCAUGCCGUAGACCCGAAACCGGGUGACCUAUCCAUGGCCAGGUUGAAGCGAGGGUAAAACCUCGUGGAGGACCGAACCACGUUGCUGUUGAAAAAGCAUGGGAUGAGCUGUGGAUAGCGGAGAAAUUCCAAUCGAACCCGGAGAUAGCUGGUUCUCUCCGAAAUAGCUUUAGGGCUAGCGUCGAGUAUGAGUAGUGGAGGUAGAGCACUGAAUGGGCUAGGGGGCAUAGCGCUUACCGAACCUUAUCAAACUCCGAAUGCCACAUACUUUGAGCUCGGCAGUCAGACUACGAAUGAUAAGAUCCGUGGUCAAAAGGGAAACAGCCCAGAUCGUCAGCUAAGGUCCCAAAGUGUAAGUUAAGUGGGAAAGGAUGUGAGAUUUCUAAGACAACUAGGAUGUUGGCUUAGAAGCAGCCAUUCAUUAAAAGAGUGCGUAAUAGCUCACUAGUCGAGAGAUCUUGCGCCGAAAAUGUAACGGGGCUAAACUUACC